UACGAAGGGAGCUAGCGUUGUUCGGAAUUACUGGGCGUAAAGGGCGCGUAGGCGGUUUUGUAAGUCAGAUGUGAAAGCCCCGGGCUUAACCUGGGAACUGCAUUUGAGACUGCAAGACUAGAGAUCAAGAGAGGAAAGUGGAAUUACGAGUGUAGAAGUGAAAUUCGUAGAUAUUCGUAGGAACACCGGUGGCGAAGGCGACUUUCUGGCUCGAACCUGACGCUAAAGCGCGAAAGCGUGGGGAGCAAACAGG
This 253-nucleotide ribosomal RNA is filed under the name uncultured bacterium. RNAcentral's name for it is "partial 16S ribosomal RNA". It matches the Rfam family "Bacterial small subunit ribosomal RNA", at positions 524 to 776 of the family's 1533-position model. The record is from RNAcentral.